Gadus morhua (Atlantic cod) is the source of this 1968-nucleotide long non-coding RNA. RefSeq lists it as uncharacterized. The transcript has 2 exons. The record is from RefSeq and is a predicted model, not a curated record. NCBI's taxonomy places the organism in Eukaryota, Metazoa, Chordata, Actinopteri, Gadiformes, Gadidae.
AGUCAUAACCGUUAACCGGAACAUUCACACCACGCUAUGAUUCAACUUCUUAACCAUUAUUAAGAUUACCGUAUAUUGAGACAUUAGUGAUAAACGGUUCGGGAGAUGUUUCGUUUUUUUGAAGAAAGUAACGCGACGCAGCAACGGAUGAUCGAUCACUGCAAACAGAGCGCGAGUCGCGACAGGUGACCUGAUUACCGCGAGACGAACAGGGGCGUGUUCAGGGUUGCUGAAGCUUUACGUGAUGAUGAAAUUGUUAUCACAAAAUAUUGAUCUAUAAUAUCUAUGUGCAAUGUGUGUUUAUUACUGAAAAAUUACAUGAACAUUUUGAAAAAAAAUUGACAAGUAGAUUCAGCUGUUGGCUUCCACCAAAUCAGGUCAGAACGGCAUGCAGCACGGGACGGAGGAAAGCACGACUAGGGCUGAGGAAAUGCAGCUACAAUAAAGAAUGGGAAUUUAUCUAUCCCUGGGUGAAACCAGUGCAAGGCAAUUCUGGUAAUGCUUUGUGUGAAGAUCGCUUGAGUCAUUUUUCCAUUUCACACGGAGGUGAAUACUUCGUGAAACGACACAGACAAUGCGGGAGUCAGAAAAAACGUUAUUAUUGUGGCGACUCCUCCGGGGUCGCGCAGGGGAUCCUGGGAAUUGGUGUUGAUAGUUGAAAAAGGGGCUUUUGUCAACUUGUUUUGUUGUUAGGUUAAGUGGGGUUAAUGGGUUCGGGGUUGUGUGUAGUUGUGUGUUGUUUAAAGUUAACAUGUGUGUGUAUCGUUGCCGCCACCAUCACUGACUAUGACAUGUUUGUUCUUUGGAUGUGCUGUUUUCCUUUUACUUUGGUGGUGCGUUAAAUAAAGGCGACUCUCGUAGUCGUGCGGUGCGAUUUACUUUAAUAGAUGACAGCAAUUUAACUAUCUUCACAUUUCUAUCAUUGGAAUGAUAAUAAUUAAUAAUAUAAUUAUUAUAUUUCAUUAUAAUAUAUUUAUCCCCCGCCCUACCAUUCACAGAGCGAAGAUUAUGACGACAACGUCUCAAUUUGCGGGACGUGUACAAUGUAAUAUAAAUGCGGGACUGUCCCGCACAAAGCGGGACAUAUGGUCACCCUACGCCGAAGGGUACUGUUACCCGUCUGUGACAGAAGCUAAAGUGCCCUUGCCAACAGUCGGAAUUUGCAGUGAGACUGUUGGUCUGACAGUUUAUCCCCAAGUGUCUGCCAGUUCAUCACCGAGUGUCUGACAGUUUAUCACCGAGUGUCUGAGUCGGCGACAGUCAUGCGGUGAUGCGGUUAUUUGGUUCACACACACACACACACACACACACACACACACACACACACACACACACACACACACACACACACACACACACACACACACACACACACACACACACACACACACACACACACACACACACACACACACGUUUCCCUGACACUUAUCAGUCAAUGAUUUAUUUGCUUGUUUCACUUUUUCUUUGAACUUCAUUAUCUCAAUAUUUCUUAUUAUUCCGAUGUUUGAUUAAUCAGGCCUACCUUAGCACAGCUAAGGUUGGGCUGGCAGCAUGCAGUGAUAUGAUACACUGAUCGUUUAAAACAGCCCUUAUGGAACGUGACCACAUCUUUACUUUCUGUCUCCAGAGAGAGAGACCCGAGUCUCCAAGCAGUCAAGUCUCAAGUAGGUCAAGUCCAGUCUCCCAGCAGGGAGUCUGAGUCCAGUCUCACAGCAGGGAGUCUGAGUCCAGUCUCCCAGCAGGGAGUCAGAGUCCAGUCUCACAGGUCAUGUCAAGCAUCAAGUCUCCAGGUUUGUUGGCCGAAUUCUGCUCUGUUGACGAGUGAUUGAUGAGGAAGCAUCGACUCUGUGGGCAGCUAUGGGAUUAACACAUUUAUUACCCAGCAUACAUUUGGGGGUGAUACGCUUGUGUCUGUAUGUUUUAACAUUAACUGUUAGUUUGCAAAUAAAACAACUAUUCAUUCAA